AAACCAGCACCUCAAGUGGUCAGGAUGAUUAUUGGGCCUAAAGCAUCCGUAGCCUGUCCUGUAAGUUUUCGGUUAAAUCUGUAUGCUCAACAUACAGGCUGCCGGGAAUACUGCAGGACUAGGGAGUGGGAGAGGUAGACGGUACUCGGGAGGAAGUGGUAAAAUGCUUUGAUCUCUCGAUGACCACCUGUGGCGAAGGCGGUCUACCAGAACACGUCCGACGGUGAGGGAUGAAAGCUGGGGGAGCAAACCGGAUUAGAAACCCGAGUAGUCC
This 274-nucleotide ribosomal RNA is filed under the name uncultured bacterium. Its description in RNAcentral is "partial 16S ribosomal RNA". It matches the Rfam family "Archaeal small subunit ribosomal RNA", at positions 473 to 747 of the family's 1478-position model. The record is from RNAcentral.